RNAcentral lists this unclassified non-coding RNA (429 nucleotides) under Lotus germanicus. RNAcentral describes it as "partial external transcribed spacer". The record is from RNAcentral. Lineage: Eukaryota; Viridiplantae; Streptophyta; Magnoliopsida; Fabales; Fabaceae.
UGUAUGAGUUGUGWUUGGGWUGUCUUUGCUGGCUGGCUCCAUGCUUUUGCAUCGAACGGUUGGGCAUGCAAUCUCGUCUCAAGUUAGUCGCUGCGGAGCUUGGUUGCGGUUCCUGUGUUGCCUACCUCUUGAAUGAAUGGCAUUCAUGUGGCUUGUCGGAUUUUGUCCAUCCAGUUCUCCUCCUCGAGGGGUGCUGGGGGAUGUCAAAGCGACACACGUGCUCCACGGUAGUUGUUUGCUAUCGAUGUGGAGCAUGUGCGUUUGCUGCUCUCUCGGAUGCGGUGCAUGAGAUGAAACAAGGGAAGUUUUUCCCAUUGAGUCCCUCCAAUCCAAUCUCGGUUGCCUUGAAUGACACUUGCCUUCGUGCUCGCUUGCUCUCCAGUGUCGUGGUUGCAUGCGGGCACCGAUGAGCAAAGCUGUUAAUGGACG